UUCACUGAAGUGUGAUUGACUUGGAGUUACAUUGUGUUGUUUAAAUGUUCCCUUAAUUUUUUUGAGCAGUGUAAUUCUGGCCACAUGUUGACUCAGUGGUGCUUCUCCGUGCAGGUCGUGGGACCGGGGAGAGAUGCACACUCUGUAAACAGGAAUAGGUGCAUCCCCUGUUACUAAGCUGGCAAACAUUAAGCGUGUGCCCUUGGGCCACUACUCUACUACCACAUGUCUACAACACAAAAUCCUUGUGUGUGCAUGUGUCUCUUCACAGUCCCCGCUGUUACAUCUGCCACCCGGCUCGGUGUGUGACAGGGAACCGUCUUUCCACCAAGCUGUUCCAGGCCUGGAGUGGCAGGCGGGAACUUCCAGAGUCUUGUAGACCUGAAGCAGUGUUAUGUGGUCCAGAUCUGACACCCCUAUUAGCUCAACCACAGUCUUCACAGCUGCAGGCGUCUGCUCCAGCAUCUGCUACACCGGCCACGACGCGUGAUAGAGGUAAUUAGGUGGAACUGUGUUAGAGCUGGCAAAUCCACAAGCUGCU
Long non-coding RNA from Oncorhynchus keta (chum salmon), 541 nucleotides. RefSeq lists it as uncharacterized. The record is from RefSeq and is a predicted model, not a curated record. NCBI's taxonomy places the organism in Eukaryota, Metazoa, Chordata, Actinopteri, Salmoniformes, Salmonidae. The transcript has 3 exons.